RNAcentral lists this ribosomal RNA (776 nucleotides) under uncultured bacterium. RNAcentral describes it as "bacterial SSU rRNA". It matches the Rfam family "Bacterial small subunit ribosomal RNA", at positions 722 to 1499 of the family's 1533-position model. The record is from RNAcentral.
CGACUGACUGGCUCGAUACUGACACUGAGGUGCGAAAGCGUGGGGAGCAAACGGGAUUAGAUACCCCGGUAGUCCACGCCGUAAACGAUGUCUACUAGCCGUUGGAGGACUUGAUCCUUUAGUGGCGCAGCUAACGCGAUAAGUAGACCGCCUGGGGAGUACGGUCGCAAGAUUAAAACUCAAAUGAAUUGACGGGGGCCCGCACAAGCGGUGGAGCAUGUGGUUUAAUUCGAAGCAACGCGAAGAACCUUACCUACUCUUGACAUCCAGUGAACUUUUGAGAGAUCAAUUGGUGCCUUCGGGAACACUGAGACAGGUGCUGCAUGGCUGUCGUCAGCUCGUGUUGUGAAAUGUUGGGUUAAGUCCCGUAACGAGCGCAACCCUUGUCCUUAGUUACCAUCAUUAAGUUGGGGACUCUAAGGAGACUGCCGGUGACAAACCGGAGGAAGGCGGGGACGACGUCAAGUCAUCAUGGCCCUUACGAGUAGGGCUACACACGUGCUACAAUGGCAUGUACAAAGGGUUGCCAAGCCGCGAGGUGGAGCUAAUCCCAUAAAGCAUGUCGUAGUCCGGAUUGGAGUCUGCAACUCGACUCCAUGAAGUCGGAAUCGCUAGUAAUCGUGAAUCAGAAUGUCACGGUGAAUACGUUCCCGGGCCUUGUACACACCGCCCGUCACACCAUGGGAGUGGGUUGCUCCAGAAGUAGAUAGCUUAACCUUCGGGAGGGCGUUUACCACGGAGUGAUUCAUGACUGGGGUGAAGUCGUAACAAGGUAA